This 310-nucleotide long non-coding RNA is filed under the name Dromaius novaehollandiae (emu). RNAcentral's name for it is "lncRNA (ENSDNVG00000005517.1)". The record is from RNAcentral. Lineage: Eukaryota; Metazoa; Chordata; Aves; Casuariiformes; Dromaiidae.
GACGUAAACCYGUGUGUUUGUAUCUGCUGCUACGUCUGUUCUCUCCCUCAGUCCCCGUGUUGAUAUGACUGCUGCUGGCCCUUGCUGUCUGUGUGCCCCACUCAUUCCCUGCCUGAACUGGAGAGCUCACUUCAGGUCAAAAAUGCUGAAGAUCRGAAACAUCCCAGGAUACUACUUCAGCCGAGUCUACAUCAUUGGACUAUUUUUACCUCCUCACUAAAGAUGGUCAGAAAUGAAGCAAAAUACAAGUAUGAGGAGAAGUUCUAAAGAUGAGAAGCAUAUAUGGCAGGUAUGCACCGGUACUACCUCC